AUAGUAUUUAUGUUGGGGUUUAAACUGUGUUAUUCAUGGUUAGAGUUAUAGUAUUUAUGUUGGGGUUUAAACUGUGUUAUUCAUGGUUAGAGUUAUAGUAUUUAUGUUGGGGUUUAAACUGUGUUAUUCAUGGUUAGAGUUAUAGUAUUUAUGUUGGGGUUUAAACUGUGUUAUUCAUGGUUAGAGUUAUAGUAUUUAUGUUGGGGUUUAAACUGUGUUAUUCAUGGUUAGAGUUAUAGUAUUUAUGUUGGGGUUUAAACUGUGUUAUUCAUGGUUAGAGUUAUAGUAUUUAUGUUGGGGUUUAAACUGUGUUAUUCAUGGUUAGAGUUAUAGUAUUUAUGUUGGGGUUUAAACUGUGUUAUUCAUGGUUAGAGUUAUAGUAUUUAUGUUGGGGUUUAAACUGUGUUAUUCAUGGUUAGAGUUAUAGUAUUUAUGUAAGGAUUUAAACUGUGUUAUUCAUGGUUAGAGUUAUAGUAUUUAUGUUGAGGUUUAAACUGUGUUAUUCAUGGUUAGGGUUAUAGUAUUUAUG
Molecule: long non-coding RNA, 529 nt
Organism: Oncorhynchus keta (chum salmon)
Lineage: Eukaryota; Metazoa; Chordata; Actinopteri; Salmoniformes; Salmonidae
Exons: 3
Source: RefSeq, a predicted model, not a curated record